AGAACGAACGCUGGCGGCAGGCUUAACACAUGUAAGUCGAACGCCCUCUUCGGAGGGAGUGGCAGACGGGUGAGUAACGCGUGGGAACGUACCCUUCAGUUCGGAAUAACUCAGGGAAACUUGAGCUAAUACCGGAUACGUCCGUAAGGAGAAAGAUUUAUCGCUGAAGGAUCGGCCCGCGUCGGAUUAGCUAGUUGGUGGGGUAAUGGCCCACCAAGGCAACGAUCCGUAGCUGGUCUGAGAGGAUGAUCAGCCACACUGGGACUGAGACACGGCCCAGACUCCUACGGGAGGCAGCAGUGGGGAAUAUUGGACAAUGGGCGAAAGCCUGAUCCAGCCAUGUCGCGUGAGUGAAGAAGGCCUUAGGGUUGUAAAGCUCUUUCAGUGGGGAAGAUAAUGACGGUACCCACAGAAGAAGCCCCGGCUAACUUCGUGCCAGCAGCCGC
RNAcentral lists this ribosomal RNA (446 nucleotides) under uncultured bacterium. RNAcentral describes it as "SSU rRNA". It matches the Rfam family "Bacterial small subunit ribosomal RNA", at positions 26 to 518 of the family's 1533-position model. The record is from RNAcentral.